UACAGAGGCCUCGAGCGUUAGGCGGAAUCACUGGGCUUAAAGCGUGUGUAGGUGGAUGCCUAAGUACCUUGUGAAAUCCCAUGGCUUAACCAUGGAAUUGCUUGGUAUACUGGGUGUCUUGAGCCACUCAGGGGCGAGCGGAACAAACGGUGGAGCGGUGAAAUGCGUAGAUAUCAUUUGGAACGCCAAUGGUGAAAACAGGUAGCUGGGAGUGUGCUGACGCUGAGACACGAAAGCCAGGGGAGCGAACGGG
This 253-nucleotide ribosomal RNA is filed under the name uncultured bacterium. RNAcentral describes it as "partial 16S ribosomal RNA". It matches the Rfam family "Bacterial small subunit ribosomal RNA", at positions 524 to 776 of the family's 1533-position model. The record is from RNAcentral.